GCAACUGUUUACCAAAAACACAGGUUUGUGCUAAAUCGAAAGAUGACGUAUACGAGCUGACGCCUGCCCGGUGCUGGAAGGUUAAGAGGAGAUGUGCAAGCAUUGAAUCGAAGCCCCAGUGAACGGCGGCCGUAACUAUAACGGUCCUAAGGUAGCGAAAUUCCUUGUCAGGUAAGUUCUGACCCGCACGAAAGGCGUAAUGAUUUGGGCACUGUCUCAACAGCCCGCCCGGCGAAAUUGUAGUACCGGUGAAGAUGCCGGUUACCCGCGACAAGACGGAAAGACCCCAUGGAGCUUUACUGUAGCCUAAUAUUGGGUUUCGAUGUUGCAUGCACAGGAUAGAUGGGACACUGGGAAGCAGGUGCUUUGGCGCUUGUGGAGUGGCCGUUGGGAUACCAUCCUUGCGAUAUUGGAAUUCUAACCUGCGCCUUUGAAUCAAGGCGGGGGACAUUGUUAGGUGGGCAGUUUGACUGGGGCGGUCGCCUCCUAAAGAGUAACGGAGGCGUUCAAAGGUUCGCUCAGCUUGAACGGAAAUCAAGCAAAAGAGUGCAAACGCAGAAGCGAGCCUAACUGCGAGACUGACGGGUCGAGCAGUAACGAAAGUUGGAGUUAGUGAUCCGGUGGUAUGUGAGUGGAAAUGCCAUCGCUCAACGGAUAAAAGCUACCCUGGGGAUAACAGGCUGAUCUCCCCCAAGAGUCCACAUCGACGGGGAGGUUUGGCACCUCGAUGUCGGCUCAUCGCAUCCUGGGGCUGUAUUCGGUCCCAAGGGUUUGGCUGUUCGCCAAUUAAAGCGGUACGCGAGCUGGGUUCAGAACGUCGUGAGACAGUUCGGUCCCUAUCUGUCGUGGGCGCAGGAUAUUUGAUGGGAGCUGUUCCUAGUACGAGAGGACCGGAGCGGACGUACCUCUGGCGCACCAGUUGUUCUGCCAAGAGCAUAGCUGGGCAACUAUGUACGGAUCGGAUAAACGCUGAAAGCAUCUAAGCGUGAAGCCGACCCAAAGAUAAGAUAUCCCAUUGUUUCAAACAAGUAAGACCCCUUGAAGACUACAAGGUUGAUAGGCACGAUGUGUAAGUGGAGCGAUCCAUUCAGCAAGCGUGUACUAAUAGGUCGAGGGCUUGACCAC
RNAcentral lists this ribosomal RNA (1125 nucleotides) under human gut metagenome. Its description in RNAcentral is "bacterial LSU rRNA". It matches the Rfam family "Bacterial large subunit ribosomal RNA", at positions 1796 to 2925 of the family's 2925-position model. The record is from RNAcentral.